Molecule: ribosomal RNA, 484 nt
Filed under: uncultured bacterium
Lineage: Bacteria
Description: partial 16S ribosomal RNA
Rfam family: Bacterial small subunit ribosomal RNA
Source: RNAcentral
GACGAACGCUGGCGGCGUGCUUAACACAUGCAAGUCGAACGAUGAAGCUGGAGCUUGCUCCGGUGGAUUAGUGGCGAACGGGUGAGUAACACGUGAGAAAUCUGCCCUUGACUCUGGGAUAACUGCGGGAAACUGUAGCUAAUACCGGAUAUUUUCCUUGGUGGGCAUCCACUGGGGAAGAAAGAAUUUCGGUCAAGGAUGAUCUCGCGGCCUAUCAGCUAGUUGGUGAGGUAAUGGCUCGCCAAGGCGACGACGGGUAGCCGGCCUGAGAGGGUGAACAGGCACACGGGGACUGAGACACGGCCCAGACUCCUACAGGAGGCAGCAGGGGGGAAUAUGGCACAAUGGGCGCAAGCCUGAUGCAGCAACGCCGCGGGAGGGAUGAAGGCCUUCGGGUUGUAAACCUCUUUUAGCAGGGAAGAAGCGAAAGUGACGGUACCUGCAGAAAAAGCACCGGCUAACUACGUGCCAGCCGCCGCAGUAA